Long non-coding RNA from Jaculus jaculus (lesser Egyptian jerboa), 667 nucleotides. RefSeq lists it as uncharacterized. The transcript is spliced from 6 exons. The record is from RefSeq and is a predicted model, not a curated record. Lineage: Eukaryota; Metazoa; Chordata; Mammalia; Rodentia; Dipodidae.
GGCCAAUCAGGACGCUGGGGCCUUCCUUCGGCCAGUCCAGACUCGGCUCUUGUGGGAGUGGCCGACUCCGGUUUCCUAUCCGGUCCUCCCAAGAAGAGUGUGUUUUUCGGCCUCUUCCUUUCACUAAUAAAUGGAUGGACUCACAAUCACCACCUCUCCAGGGUUUUCUUCAUGUUUUGUGCCUAGUCAUAUUCCAUCUAGAUUGCAUUUUUGUGCAUCAACUGAUAAAAUAGAACAGAGCUACGUUCCAGGACCUCAAGAAUCCAACGCAGCACAAGGAAACAAGCAUCAUGAGCCCUCAAGACAGUUACCAUCUUAAGACCUGUAGACUCGUCUUCAAUAUCUUCAGGCAGCAGAAAGAUCAUGCUGAGCUCCCCGCCCUGUUCAUAAACUGCUAUGCUAUGACAGGCCUCCUCUGCUACAUUAUCCCACUGUGAGGCAUAGUCCUGACAUAGGACCAGAGCAAUGGGGCCCACUGGUCAUAGACUGAACUCUCCACAACUGUGGGUGAAAACUUGGCCAUUUCUCCUGAAGAACUUCUGCCAUGUGACUGUGCUGAGAACAUGGGCAUCUCCUCACAGCGCUGCAGAACGCGAGGUGCUCCGUACUUACGGGUUGGAAAUUGACUGGGCUUACAGGAACGCAUGGCCAUACCCAGCUGAUACUU